AAUAUAUGGCCAUGACCAUGAGGAAUAGCUAGAAGCUACAACUAACUAGCUAGCAACUACCGUGGAAGCAGCGUUAUAGAAACAUAUAAGAAUGAUUUUUUAAAUACGAAUUAGGGAAAUUUUAAAAAAACUGCAGCUAUAUAUAUAUUGAGAAUCUGCAAGACUCAGUUCCAAUUAUUAAAAGAGAAGAGCAACAAAUCACGAGAGAAAACAAAGCCAUACAAUUUUUUUUCUUUGAGACACUGAGAAGAUGUCUUCACAGCAGAAGAACACAAAUUCAUCAUCCUCCACUCAAUCUUCCCUCCCCGACGGCGCCACCACCGGAGAAAACAACGUUAACCGUGAAAAGACAGUGACCCAACAGCCCAACUCCGUUGCUGAUCCGUUGCACCACCAUCGUCACAGCCUUGCUAAAGUUAUAGCGUUACGUCCAAGGAAGUUCACGGAUGCGUUCAUGGAGACGCAGUUCAGAUGUGAAGUGUGCGGCGAAAGAUUUACAAGAGAAGAGGAUCGAAAUAUUCACAGGAGUGGACACUACAAUAAUCCAUUUAGGAGAUAAAACUGAUCGGAGAAGUGGAAAUGCGAGUAAUGCUAUACGAUGUUACAAAUCUGUCUGCAAAAACUAUCUCUAAGACUUUGUGAUCCCAUGAUAUUACCAUCUUUUCUAUUAAAACUAUGUUACCGUCUUUCUUAGUUUCUUUCAAUAAUAUUUGUUUCCUUUGAUAA
Long non-coding RNA from Brassica napus (rape), 726 nucleotides. RefSeq lists it as uncharacterized. Lineage: Eukaryota; Viridiplantae; Streptophyta; Magnoliopsida; Brassicales; Brassicaceae. The transcript has 2 exons. The record is from RefSeq and is a predicted model, not a curated record.